CCAGAACAAAAAACAAACAAACAAAAAACUCAACAAAGCAAAGCAACGAUUAGGAACCUAAUUUUGUAGACAACGUGCUUUUUUCCUGUUGCGUCUUUCACGUUCUUUACUCCGCAACUUGCUUUGCGCAAAACACUAGGCGACACGCUUGCUAUGUGGCCUUGGAUCAGAAUCAUCCUGAUCUUAUUACUAUUUUUUUUUCAUCAAAACAGAGAGUAUAGUUUACGAAUUGACCGAGCAAUGGAAUUUCCUUUAUUUAUAGACUAUAACUGGAUCGCCUUGACUGAUUGAACCCGCCCCUCUCCUCCCUCAGAGAAUAUUUAAAGCUAGAUAGGACUUAUACCAGCAAAUGAAAUGUUGGCUGAUUUUUUUCUUGCCUGUUAGAUUUAAGCAAAGUGCGAGUGGCUUACUUCUGGCUACAAAUGUGGCCACGAGAGGUUUGGACAUACCAGCUGUCACUAUUAAGUUCCAAAGGACCUUGAUCUUUACAUUCACUGCAGUGGACGGACAGCUAGAGCGAGCAGGGAAGGUCUGAGUGUCGUUCUUGUUGGCCCAGAAGAAAUGGGAUCAUACAAGAAAAUUAUGAAGACGCUUAAUGGAGGU
Long non-coding RNA from Pocillopora damicornis (cauliflower coral), 603 nucleotides. Lineage: Eukaryota; Metazoa; Cnidaria; Anthozoa; Scleractinia; Pocilloporidae. The record is from RefSeq and is a predicted model, not a curated record.